AAUAGAUACCCGGGUAGUCCACGCCGUAAACGAUGAGUGCUAAGUGUUAGAGGGUUUCCGCCCUUUAGUGCUGCAGCUAACGCAUUAAGCACUCCGCCUGGGGGAGUACGGUCGCAAGACUGAAACUCAAAGGAAUUGACGGGGGCCCGCACAAGCGGUGGAGCAUGUGGUUUAAUUCGAAGCAACGCGAAGAACCUUACCAGGUCUUGACAUCCCACUGACCGGUAUAGAGAUAUACCUUUCCCUUCGGGGACAGUGGUGACAGGUGGUGCAUGGUUGUCGUCAGCUCGUGUCGUGAGAUGUUGGGUUAAGUCCCGCAACGAGCGCAACCCUUGAUCUUAGUUGCCAGCAUUUAGUUGGGCACUCUAAGGUGACUGCCGGUGACAAACCGGAGGAAGGUGGGGAUGACGUCAAAUCAUCAUGCCCCUUAUGACCUGGGCUACACACGUGCUACAAUGGAUGGUACAAAGGGCUGCAAGACUGCGAAGUCAAGCCAAUCCCAUAAAACCAUUCUCAGUUCGGAUUGCAGG
RNAcentral lists this ribosomal RNA (530 nucleotides) under uncultured bacterium. RNAcentral describes it as "bacterial SSU rRNA". It matches the Rfam family "Bacterial small subunit ribosomal RNA", at positions 777 to 1304 of the family's 1533-position model. The record is from RNAcentral.